This is a long non-coding RNA of Sapajus apella (tufted capuchin), 1819 nucleotides long. RefSeq lists it as uncharacterized. The transcript has 3 exons. Lineage: Eukaryota; Metazoa; Chordata; Mammalia; Primates; Cebidae. The record is from RefSeq and is a predicted model, not a curated record.
CAUAGAAUACUACAUACUAGUUUCUCACUUUUUUCUUCCUUUAAACCAAAAAAGAAACCACAUACGUUCAAAACAUGCACCACUCAACACCCUAAGAUGGAAAUAGCUUAAAGUACCAAGUUUAAGAUUGAGGUAUUGGGGGAUGGAGAUUAUUAAAUUUCCUUGUUCAGAUGAAACAUAAUUAACAUAAUCAGUUUGGAACUUUUUUCAUGCCUAAUUCACUUUCUAGUCCUAAAAUAAUGUUGUGCGAAUUAUUGGCACGUUGUUUCAUUUUCAUGCUUAAUUUAAAAAAAAAAUAUUCUCCUUGUACUUAAAUGCCUAUUUAGUUCCAUUUGGGCCAUUUUCUUUGAACUAAAUGCAAAUGAGGGAGGUUGCAUCUAUUUCAUAAUCUCCCUUUAAUCAAGAUCACUACGAGGCAUCAGCCCCCUGGGUGACGGGUGACAUAAAUCAUAUUAGCUUAAUUCUGUGUGUUUCAUUAAAGGAUUUGGUAUUUUUAUGAACCAGAAUAUCUAGGUCACUGCCAUAGAAGCUUCAAUCAAGCUGCAGAUCUUAUGGAGUCAAUGAUGUGUUGCUUAUUUGAUGAGAUGAAGAUGAAGUGCCUACUCCCACCUCAUACUGGCCUCAUUAAUACAUGGUUGCUUUAAGAGUUCAUGAGUUUGGAAGAGACAGUUGGGUCCUGGCCCCAGGAAACACAGGAGAAAUCCAAAUCUCAUACAGUGUGCUGGACAUAUAACAAUUUUUGCAUUCUUUCCCCCCUCACCAUUGAAAUCUAUGAUUUCUCUAUUCAACUGUUUUCUCAGCAAUCCAAAAAGGCAAGGUUGGCAGCAUGCAAUCUGCUGAAGAAUCCUGCCUAAAUAUCCUUUUCCACUUAACACUGUCUACCAUGGAGUCAUUUUGUUUCUUUUUCAUUCCUAGAAGAUGAAGAAAUGAUGACAUCCCAAACCUCAUCAUUUGUCUAUACUUCCACUCUGGCACUUCUGCACAGUAUCUAAAUAUUUAUGUUUCUUUGUCAAAUGACAGGACCAAGAAUGUUUCUGUAAUAUUUAUGAGAACACAGGAGUUGCUAAGAGAAGAGUCUUUGCAAGAAGGGACGUGAGAAAAGCUGGGAAGAAAGAUUGAACCCACAGUUUACAAAGGUUUCAAACAUCUAGGAGAUUAUCCUCAUACGGGUCACUGCUGGACAUAGAACUUUGGAAUGGGAAGAAACUUCCAGAGUUCUGUCUUCUUCCAGAUGAUCAGAAUACAGUGAGAAACAGGCCCAAGACUGAACCCCUGGUGUUCGGCGUCAUUGGCAGUCAGUGUUUACUUCUCACCAAAAGGUGCAAUGCCUCCCUUAUGAAGAAGCCAAAGAAACAGUCAUCUACAAGUCACUUGGAAGUGUCCACCAUCACCUGGGUUAGGAUUUGAAUUCUUCUAAUAGGGUUUACAAACAGCAGAUUUAUCCAGGGGAUUUGGCUUCUUAAUUUGGAUCAUGAACCCCUUCGAGAAUCUUAUAAAAAAUUUUAGAUCCUCUCCCAGAAAUUGCACAUACAAGCAAAUAUUAUUGUUUGCAAUAAGCCUCUUACUCCAGGUUAAGACCUUAUGGCCUACAUAUUGAAAAGCUUUAUGUUUUAAUGGAAGCUUUGACACUAGCAGUGGUAAAUAGAGGAUUGUUGCCUAAAGAAGGCCCCUUUUUUGAAGUUAAAUGCUGUUAUUGUCCUGGUUACUAAAGCAGCAGCAUUAGAGAUACAUUGGAAAGCUCAGGUCCUUUGUGAGUCUAGAGACACUUCCAGAAAUAAACAAUGCCACGGGUCUUCUGGGCCCCGUGGUUCUCACCCCU